AACGCUAGCUACAGGCUUAACACAUGCAAGUCGAGGGGAAACGACAUCGAAAGCUUGCUUUUGAUGGGCGUCGACCGGCGCACGGGUGAGUAACGCGUAUCCAACCUGCCCACCACUUGGGGAUAACCUUGCGAAAGUAAGACUAAUACCCGAUGAUAUCCCUAGACGACAUCUGAAAGGGAUUAAAGAUUUAUCGGUGAUGGAUGGGGAUGCGUCUGAUUAGCUUGUUGGCGGGGUAACGGCCCACCAAGCCGACGAUCAGUAGGGGUUCUGAGAGGAAGGUCCCCCACAUUGGAACUGAGACACGGUCCAAACUCCUACGGGAGGCAGCAGUGAGGAAUAUUGGUCAAUGGGCGAGAGCCUGAACCAGCCAAGUAGCGUGCAGGAUGACGGCCCUAUGGGUUGUAAACUGCUUUUAUAAGGGAAUAAAGUGGGUCACGUGUGACUUUUUGCAUGUACCUUAUGAAUAAGGACCGGCUAAUUCCGUGCCAGCAGCCGCGGUAAUACGGAAGGUCCGGGCGUUAUCCGGAUUUAUUGGGUUUAAAGGGAGCGCAGGCCGUGGGUUAAGCGUGUCGUGAAAUUCCGUCGCUCAACGGCGGACGUGCGGCGCGAACUGGUCCACUUGAGUACGCGGGACGUUGGCGGAAUUCGUGGUGUAGCGGUGAAAUGCUUAGAUAUCACGAAGAACUCCGAUUG
This 696-nucleotide ribosomal RNA is filed under the name uncultured bacterium. RNAcentral describes it as "bacterial SSU rRNA". It matches the Rfam family "Bacterial small subunit ribosomal RNA", at positions 32 to 715 of the family's 1533-position model. The record is from RNAcentral.